Molecule: unclassified non-coding RNA, 403 nt
Filed under: Bombus terrestris (buff-tailed bumblebee)
Lineage: Eukaryota; Metazoa; Arthropoda; Insecta; Hymenoptera; Apidae
Description: misc RNA ENSBTSG00005025724.1
Source: RNAcentral
GUCUAUGUUUAUGUUUAUAUCUAUGUUUAUGUCUAUGUUUAUAUUUAUGUUUGUGUCUAUAUCAAUGUUUAUAUCUAUGUUUAUGUUUCUGCCAAUGUUUAUGUUUAUGUUUAUGUCUAUGUUUAUGUUUAUAUCUAUGUUUAUGUCUAUGUUUAUAUUUAUGUUUGUGUCUAUAUCAAUGUUUAUAUCUAUGUUUAUGUUUAUGUCUAUGUUUAUGUUUAUGUUUGUGUCUAUGUUUAUGUUUACAACUAUGUUUAUGUUUAUGUUUGUGUCUAUAUCAAUGUUUAUAUCUAUGUUUAUGUUUAUAUCAAUGUUUCUGUCUAUGUUUAUGUUUAUGUUCAUGUCUAUGUUUAUAUUUGUAUCUAUGUUUGUGUCUAUGUUUGUGUCUAUGUCGAUAUUUAUG